Molecule: ribosomal RNA, 484 nt
Filed under: uncultured bacterium
Lineage: Bacteria
Description: partial 16S ribosomal RNA
Rfam family: Bacterial small subunit ribosomal RNA
Source: RNAcentral
AUUGAACGCUGGCGGCAGGCCUAACACAUGCAAGUCGAGCGGAUGAAGGGAGCUUGCUCCUGGAUUCAGCGGCGGACGGGUGAGUAAUGCCUAGGAAUCUGCCUGGUAGUGGGGGAUAACGUCCGGAGACGGGCGCUAAUACCGCAUACGUCCUGAGGGAGAAGGUGGGGGAUCUUCGGACCUCACGCUCUCAGAUGGGCCUAGGUCGGAUUAGCUAGUUGGUGGGGUAAGGGCCUACCAAGCCGACGAUCCGUAACUGGUCUGGGAGGAUGAUCAGUCACACUGGAACUGGGACACGGUCCAGAGUACUACGAGAGGCAGCAGUGGGGAAUAUGGGACAGUGGGCGAAAGCCUGAUCCAGCCAUGCCGCGUGUGUGAAGGAAGUCUUCGGAUUGUAAAGCCCGUUUAGGUGGGAGGAAGGGCUGUAAGCUGAUACCUAGCUGUUUUGACGGUACCAACUAAAGAAGCACCGGCUAACUACGUG